RNAcentral lists this transfer RNA (76 nucleotides) under Mycolicibacterium sp. TY66. RNAcentral describes it as "tRNA-Trp". It matches the Rfam family "tRNA". Rfam says of the family: Transfer RNA (tRNA) molecules are approximately 80 nucleotides in length. Their secondary structure includes four short double-helical elements and three loops (D, anti-codon, and T loops). Further hydrogen bonds mediate the characteristic L-shaped molecular structure. tRNAs have two regions of fundamental functional importance: the anti-codon, which is responsible for specific mRNA codon recognition, and the 3' end, to which the tRNAs corresponding amino acid is attached (by aminoacyl-tRNA synthetases). tRNAs cope with the degeneracy of the genetic code in two manners: having more than one tRNA (with a specific anti-codon) for a particular amino acid; and 'wobble' base-pairing, i.e. permitting non-standard base-pairing at the 3rd anti-codon position. RNAcentral also lists the same sequence under 2 other names. Lineage: Bacteria; Bacillati; Actinomycetota; Actinomycetes; Mycobacteriales; Mycobacteriaceae. The record is from RNAcentral.
ACGGAUGUAGCUCAAUUGGUAGAGCAGCGGUCUCCAAAGCCGCAUGUUGCAGGUUCAAGUCCUGUCAUCCGUGCCA